This 342-nucleotide long non-coding RNA is filed under the name Androctonus crassicauda. The record is from RNAcentral. Lineage: Eukaryota; Metazoa; Arthropoda; Arachnida; Scorpiones; Buthidae.
CUUUAGUUCUUAAAAAGGUGGCACAGUCUCUAGUUCAUUUGUAAAACGGUUAUUCACAAUACGUCGAUGAUGGAUGUUCACUGCCUGUUGCGAGUUUGGAGCGGAGUUGGGUUCUCUCUCUCUUCUCAAUGACGUCUGUUCCCUUCCAAAGUUUCACCACGACUCCCCGAUUUUUCGAUGUCUUCAAUAUUAUAUUUUGAUUUCUUUCACCCCAGUUACAUUCCUUAGGUCUCGGCUUACUACCACCUGCAUGUUACCCGAUUCUUACUCUAACAUCAUAAUUUACCAAUACAUCGAAACUUUGUUUAGACUAAUUGGAAAUGGAGGAGAACAGAGGACCUC